This 491-nucleotide ribosomal RNA is filed under the name uncultured bacterium. RNAcentral's name for it is "partial 16S ribosomal RNA". It matches the Rfam family "Bacterial small subunit ribosomal RNA", at positions 29 to 506 of the family's 1533-position model. The record is from RNAcentral.
AGUGAACGCUGGCGGUAGGCCUAACACAUGCAAGUCGAACGGCAGCACAGUAAGAGCUUGCUCUUACGGGUGGCGAGUGGCGGACGGGUUAGGAAUACAUCGGAAUCUACUUUUUCGUGGGGGAUAACGUAGGGAAACUUACGCUAAUACCGCAUACGACCUACGGGUGAAAGCAGGGGAUCUUCGGACCUUGCGCGAUUGAAUGAGCCGAUGUCGGAUUAGCUAGUUGGCGGGGUAAAGGCCCACCAAGGCGACGAUCCGUAGCUGGUCUGAGAGGAUGGACAGCCACACUGGACCUGAGACACGCACCAGAAUCCGACGGGAGGCAGCAGUGGGGAAUAUUGGACAAUGGGCGCAAGACUGAACCAGCCAUACCGCGUGGGUGAAGAAGGCCUUCGGGUUGUAAAGCCCUGUUGGUGGGAUAGAAAAGCAGCAGGUUAAUACCCCGCUGUUAUGACGGUACCCAAAGAAUAAGCACCGGCUAACUUCGU